Molecule: long non-coding RNA, 572 nt
Organism: Oreochromis niloticus (Nile tilapia)
Lineage: Eukaryota; Metazoa; Chordata; Actinopteri; Cichliformes; Cichlidae
Exons: 2
Source: RefSeq, a predicted model, not a curated record
UGAAACGCGUAAAAUAAAAUGAUAAAAUAGGUUAAGUUCGCCAAAAGGCCAAAAAGAACUAAGUUUAGACCAGUUUCAGAGGUAGCUGUUAAAUACUUCGUGACAAAUUAGCGCGCAAAUGUCUAUCUGUGUGUAUGUGUGUAUGUGUCUAGAAGUAAGUUGAUUUUACAGCACAAUACGCUGCUGAACUACUUCUAUUUUAUUUGUUUUCUUUGCUUGAGGCUCACGUACUGGUGACAAAUGAGAACGGUUGAGUUUUAUCUCGUAAAACUGAUACCGCUUCAUUUUUUAGAAGUGAAGUAGAAGGGCGUAUCAGCAACCACUCUGAAGUCAAGCGUGCCAGUGACAGCCCAGCAAAAUCUUUGACAAUGGGGAAUAAACAAGCAAAAUUAACACCUGAUGAGGAAUAUUUAGAAAAACAACAAACCGGAGCAGGUAGAAUAAGUGCAAAUAGGUGGAGAAAUCCACAAAAAGCUAAAAACCACAGCUGGGAAGGGAAAUGCAAUCCCUCAGCUGUUACCCAGCUGAGAGCUGCCCUGAAACAAGAAAUUACAUUAACAAAAGACCCAAAG